CCUACGGGGGGCAGCAGUGAGGAAUAUUGGUCAAUGGGCGGGAGCCUGAACCAGCCAUGCAGCGUGAAGGCGAGUGCCCUACGGGCGUUAAACUUCUUUUUUUCGGGAGCUAUAAUGACCACGUUUGGCCCGAUGAGAGUACCGCACGAAUAAGCAUCGGCUAACUCCGUUCCAACAGCCGCGGUCAUAAGGGGGAUUCGAGCGUUAUCCGGAUUUUUUGGGUUUAAAAGGUGCGUAGGCGGCCCUUCAGGUCAGCGGUGAAAUUCCGGGGCUCAACCCCGGGGCUGCCGUUGAAACCGGAGCGCUAGAAUUCCGAUGCCGUCGGAGGAAUGUGUGGUGUAGCGGUGAAAUGCAUAGAUAUCACACAGAACACCGAUUGCGAAGGCAUCUGACGAAUCGGAGAUUGACGCUGAUGCACGAAAGCGUGGGUAUCGAACAGGAUUAGAUACCCGGGUAGUC
RNAcentral lists this ribosomal RNA (459 nucleotides) under uncultured bacterium. RNAcentral describes it as "partial 16S ribosomal RNA". It matches the Rfam family "Bacterial small subunit ribosomal RNA", at positions 338 to 795 of the family's 1533-position model. The record is from RNAcentral.